GAUGAAGAACGCAGCGAAAUGCGAUACGUAGUGUGAAUUGCAGAAUCCCGUGAACCAUCGAGUCUUUGAACGCAAGUUGCGCCCGAAGCCAUCAGGUUGAGGGCACGUCUGCCUGGGCGUCACAUAUCGUUGCCCAAUGCCUAUUGCAGUGCAAUAGGAAUUUCUAGGGCGAAUGAUGGCUUCCCGUGAGCGUUGUUGCCUCGCGGUUGGUUGAAAAUCGAGUCCUUGGUAGGGUGUGCCAUGGUAGAUGGUGGUCGAGUUAGAACGAUACCGAUCAUGUGCAUGCUCCCCAAAAUAUGGCCUCUAUGACCCACACGCGUCUUUUGACGCUCAUGACGAGACCUCAGGUCAGGCGGGGCUACCCGCUGAAUUUAAGCAUAUCAAUAAGCGGAGGA
This 395-nucleotide unclassified non-coding RNA is filed under the name soil metagenome. RNAcentral's name for it is "partial contains 5.8S ribosomal RNA, internal transcribed spacer 2, and large subunit ribosomal RNA". The stretch from base 1 to 122 matches the Rfam family "5.8S ribosomal RNA", at positions 35 to 154 of the family's 154-position model. The record is from RNAcentral.